CCUACGGGCGGCAGCAGUGAGGAAUAUUGGUCAAUGGGCGCGAGCCUGAACCAGCCAAGUCGCGUGAAGGAUGACUGCCCUACGGGUUGUAAACUUCUUUUAUAAAGGAAUAAAGUGAGGCACGCGUGCCUUUUUGUAUGUACUUUAUGAAUAAGGAUCGGCUAACUCCGUGCCAGCAGCCGCGGUAAUACGGAGGAUCCGAGCGUUAUCCGGAUUUAUUGGGUUUAAAGGGUGCGUAGAUGGGUUGUUAAGUCAGUUGUGAAAGUUCGCGGCUCAACCUUAAAAUUGCAAGUGAUACUGGCAGUCUUGAGGACAGUUGAGGUAGGCGGAAUGCGUGGUGUAGCGGUGAAAUGCUUAGAUAUCACGAAGAACCCCGAUUGCGAAGGCAGCUUACUAAGCUGUGACUGACAUUGAGGCUCGAAAGUGUGGGUAUCAAACAGGAUUAGAUACCCCAGUAGUC
Molecule: ribosomal RNA, 460 nt
Filed under: uncultured bacterium
Lineage: Bacteria
Description: partial 16S ribosomal RNA
Rfam family: Bacterial small subunit ribosomal RNA
Source: RNAcentral